AUACGGAGGGAGCGAGCGUUAAUCGGAAUUACUGGGCGUAAAGCGCGCGUAGGCGGCUUUGUAAGUCGGAUGUGAAAGCCCAGGGCUCAACCCUGGAAUUGCAUUCGAUACUGCAUAGCUAGAGUAUGGUAGAGGGAAGUGGAAUUUCCGGUGUAGCGGUGAAAUGCGUAGAUAUCGGAAGGAACACCGGUGGCGAAGGCGACUUCCUGGGCCAAUACUGACGCUGAGGUGCGAAAGCGUGGGGAGCAAACAGGAGUAGAAACCCUGGUAGUCC
This 274-nucleotide ribosomal RNA is filed under the name uncultured bacterium. RNAcentral describes it as "partial 16S ribosomal RNA". It matches the Rfam family "Bacterial small subunit ribosomal RNA", at positions 523 to 796 of the family's 1533-position model. The record is from RNAcentral.